RNAcentral lists this unclassified non-coding RNA (347 nucleotides) under soil metagenome. Its description in RNAcentral is "partial contains 5.8S ribosomal RNA, internal transcribed spacer 2, and large subunit ribosomal RNA". The stretch from base 1 to 120 matches the Rfam family "5.8S ribosomal RNA", at positions 35 to 154 of the family's 154-position model. The record is from RNAcentral.
GAUGAAGAACGUAGCGAAAUGCGAUAAGUAAUGUGGAUUGCAGAAUUCAGUGAAUCAUCGAAUCUUUGAGCGCAACUUGCGCUCUCUGGUAUUCCGGAGAGCAUGCCUGUUUGAGUAUCAUGAAAUCUCAACCAUUAGGGUUUCUUAAUGGCUUGGAAUUGGGUGUUGCCAGUCGCCUGGCUCGCCUUAAAAGAGUUAGCGUGUUUAACUUGUCUAUCUGGCGUAAUAAGUUUCGCUGGUGUCGGCUUGAGAAGUACGCUUCUAAUCGUCUUCGGACAAUUCUUGAACUCUGGUCUCAAAUCAGGUAGGGCUACCCGCUGAACUUAAGCAUAUCAAUAAGCGGAGGA